RNAcentral lists this ribosomal RNA (208 nucleotides) under uncultured bacterium. Its description in RNAcentral is "partial 16S ribosomal RNA". It matches the Rfam family "Bacterial small subunit ribosomal RNA", at positions 568 to 774 of the family's 1533-position model. The record is from RNAcentral.
CGUGUAGGCGGCCCGGCACGUCCGUCGCUGAAAGCCCCCGGCUCAACCGGGGAAGUGGCGUGGAUACGACCGGGCUGGAGGGGGAUAGGGGGAUCGGGAACUUCCGGUGGAGCGGUGAAAUGCGUUGAGAUCGGAAGGAACGCCCGUGGCGAAAGCGCGGUCCUGGAUCCCACCUGACGCUGAGACGCGAAAGCUAGGGUAGCGAACG